UGGAUCGCCCUUAGAGUUUGAUCCUGGCUCAGAUUGAACGCUAGCGGGAUGCCUUACACAUGCAAGUCGAACGGCAGCGGGAAGAAAGCUUGCUUUCUUUGCCGGCGAGUGGCGAACGGGUGAGUAAUGUAUCGGAACGUGCCCAGUAGCGGGGGAUAACUGGCCGAAAGGUCAGCUAAUACCGCAUACGCCCUACGGGGGAAAGGGGGGGAUUCUUCGGAACCUCUCACUAUUGGAGCGGCCGAUAUCGGAUUAGCUAGUUGGUGGGGUAAUGGCCUACCAAGGCGACGAUCCGUAGCUGGUUUGAGAGGACGACCAGCCACACUGGGACUGAGACACGGCCCAGACUCCUACGGGAGGCAGCAGUGGGGAAUUUUGGACAAUGGGGGAAACCCUGAUCCAGCCAUCCCGCGUGUGCGAUGAAGGCCUUCGGGUUGUAAAGCACUUUUGUCAGGGAAGAAAAGGUUCUGGCUAAUACCCGGAACUGAUGACGGUACCUGAAGAAUAAGCACCGGCUAACUACGUGCCAGCAGCCGCGGUAAUACGUAGGGUGCAAGCGUUAAUCGGAAUUACUGGGCGUAAAGCGUGCGCAGGCGGUUCGGAAAGAAGGAUGUGAAAUCCCAGGGCUCAACCUUGGAACUGCAUUCUUAACUACCGAACUAGAGUAUGUCAGAGGGGGGUAGAAUUCCGCGUGUAGCAGUGAAAUGCGUAGAUAUGCGGAGGAAUACCGAUGGCGAAGGCAGCCCCCUGGGAUAAUACUGACGCUCAUGCACGAAAGCGUGGGUAGCAAACAGGAUUAGAUACCCUGGUAGUCCACGCCCUAAACGAUGUCAACUAGCUGUUGGGCCCUUCGGGGCUUAGUAGCGUAGCUAACGCGUGAAGUUGACCGCCUGGGGAGUACGGUCGCAAGAUUAAAACUCAA
RNAcentral lists this ribosomal RNA (922 nucleotides) under uncultured Advenella sp. RNAcentral describes it as "bacterial SSU rRNA". It matches the Rfam family "Bacterial small subunit ribosomal RNA", at positions 1 to 904 of the family's 1533-position model. The record is from RNAcentral. Lineage: Bacteria; Pseudomonadati; Pseudomonadota; Betaproteobacteria; Burkholderiales; Alcaligenaceae.